UGCGCCUACAAUCCGUCAGAGCCUCCUCGUGGGGUGAUGGCGUGCCUUUUGAAGAAUGAGCCUGCGAGUCAGGGACAUGUCGCGAGGUUAACCCGUGUGGGGUAGCCGCAGCGAAAGCGAGUCUGAAUAGGGCGUAUCCCGUAAGGGGUGUAGUGGCAUGUUCUGGACCCGAAGCGGAGUGAUCUACCCAUGGCCAGGGUGAAGGCGGGUAAGACCGCGUGGAGG
Molecule: ribosomal RNA, 225 nt
Filed under: Mycobacterium gordonae
Lineage: Bacteria; Bacillati; Actinomycetota; Actinomycetes; Mycobacteriales; Mycobacteriaceae
Description: partial 23S rRNA
Rfam family: Bacterial large subunit ribosomal RNA
Source: RNAcentral